This is a non-coding RNA of Equus caballus (horse), 184 nucleotides long. Lineage: Eukaryota; Metazoa; Chordata; Mammalia; Perissodactyla; Equidae. The record is from Rfam.
GCCGACGAGCCCGGCUGGCCCCGUGCGUACGGGAAAGGGGCAGGCUAGAGCUUCCUUGACGACCAUUAGGUACCUUCGGAGACUACAUUUCCCAGAUGGCCCCGCGCGGCGCGGGGCUGAUGGGGGAAGCGCCGAGGGCCCAGUGCGCAGACGCGAGAGCCCCCUCUGGUUAUAUAAGGGAGGG